AGACAAGGAAAAAUUACGCUGCAUUUUGGGAGAGGGAUCGGUGAGGGUGAUGGGAUCUGGAGCUGGAAACUUCCUCAAGGUGGUUCUCAAGAACUUUGAUGUUCUUGCUGGGCCUGUGGUUAGUCUUGUUUAUCCUCUAUAUGCCUCAAUUAGGGCAAUUGAGACCAAAUCUCCUGUUGAUGAUCAACAAUGGCUUACUUAUUGGGUCCUUUAUUCUAUGAUUACACUCAUCGAGCUCACCUUUGCCAAAGUCAUUGAAUGGAUACCAAUCUGGUCAUAUGCAAAGCUCAUUCUGACUUGCUGGUUGGUGAUCCCAUACUUCAGUGGUGCUGCAUAUGUUUAUGAGCACUUUGUGAGACCUCUUUUUGUUAACCCACAACAAACUAUUAAUAUCUGGUAUGUCCCAAGGAAGAAGGAUGUCUUCAGUAAGCCAGAUGACAUUCUAACUGCUGCAGAGAAAUACAUUGAAGAGAAUGGGACUGAAGCAUUUGAGAAGCUUAUUCACAAGGCUGAUAAGUCCAGGAGUAACAUUUACACAAACACAAUCUUCGAUGAGGACUAUAGAUACUAAGGCUUGUAACUCUCAGUUUGAUCUGCUACCUAAUACAUUGUUGAAUAUAACUCUGGCUAGAUUUCUCUACUUUUUUUUGUUGCUGAAACUAUAGUUGUCUUUUGUCUGAUAUGGUGUUACAUUGUUGUGAAGGAAACUCGAUGUUUUAAUAUUAUAGUAUGUAAUCUAAAUGUUAUAGAAUGUAAUUAUCUGUCA
RNAcentral lists this unclassified non-coding RNA (766 nucleotides) under Hevea brasiliensis (rubber tree). Lineage: Eukaryota; Viridiplantae; Streptophyta; Magnoliopsida; Malpighiales; Euphorbiaceae. The record is from RNAcentral.